Molecule: ribosomal RNA, 734 nt
Filed under: uncultured bacterium
Lineage: Bacteria
Description: bacterial SSU rRNA
Rfam family: Bacterial small subunit ribosomal RNA
Source: RNAcentral
GAGUAACGCGUAUGCAACUUACCUAUCAGAGGGGGAUAACCCGGCGAAAGUCGGACUAAUACCGCAUGAAGCAGGGGCCCCGCAUGGGGAUAUUUGCUAAAGAUUCAUCGCUGAUAGAUAGGCAUGCGUUCCAUUAGGCAGUUGGCGGGGUAACGGCCCACCAAACCGACGAUGGAUAGGGGUUCUGAGAGGAAGGUCCCCCACAUUGGUACUGAGACACGGACCAAACUCCUACGGGAGGCAGCAGUGAGGAAUAUUGGUCAAUGGGCGUAAGCCUGAACCAGCCAAGUCGCGUGAGGGAUGAAGGUUCUAUGGAUCGUAAACCUCUUUUAUAAGGGAAUAAAGUGCGGGACGUGUCCCGUUUUGUAUGUACCUUAUGAAUAAGGAUCGGCUAACUCCGUGCCAGCAGCCGCGGUAAUACGGAGGAUCCGAGCGUUAUCCGGAUUUAUUGGGUUUAAAGGGUGCGUAGGCGGCCUUUUAAGUCAGCGGUGAAAGUCUGUGGCUCAACCAUAGAAUUGCCGUUGAAACUGGGGGGCUUGAGUAUGUUUGAGGCAGGCGGAAUGCGUGGUGUAGCGGUGAAAUGCAUAGAUAUCACGCAGAACCCCGAUUGCGAAGGCAGCCUGCCAAGCCAUUACUGACGCUGAUGCACGAAAGCGUGGGGAUCAAACAGGAUUAGAUACCCUGGUAGUCCACGCAGUAAACGAUGAUCACUAGCUGUUUGCGAUACACUGUAA